CCGUUGUGAAAUGUCUACUUAAUUGUGCUAACGAACGAGAUCUCUGCCUUGAAAUAUGUGCUGGUCUCGAAAAUAGGUAGGGGGCGCAAAGGGAAACCUUGCCCCCGAGAGGCCAAGCUUUACUUCUUAGAGGGACUGUGUGCGCUCACCAGUACACGGAAGAAGGAGCCCAUAGCA
RNAcentral lists this ribosomal RNA (177 nucleotides) under uncultured eukaryote. RNAcentral's name for it is "partial 18S ribosomal RNA". The record is from RNAcentral.